GAGUUUAUUUUGUAUUUUUGCUUUCUUAUGUUAUAUUGAAAUGAGGUGAAGUUCUUGUAUUGUUGUUAUUAUUAGUUAAGGUUUAGUUGAGUUCUGGGCUAGUUAUGUUUCAUCUGUGUCUCCUUGGUUAUGUGUCUUUUCUGUUCUCUGUGUAGUCUGUCUUGUCUUCUGUGUUUUACUGUUAUGUUCAUGCCAGGGCAGAAGUAAAUUUUUAGGGGUGAAGAUGCUGUUCACCUUGACCAGCUAAGACUACAGAUUGUAGAUGAAGUCGAGAAAAGUGAAAAGGUCAGAUCCUGGAUCGCUGGCCUACUCUGAAAUCCCAGUCCCAGAUCUGUGCAGAAUUCCACAGGAUUACAAACCUCGACCUGAAGAACCACUUUUAUGCUGUGUUGGACCAACAUGCUCCCCGGCUCCAGAGCUUAUUCAGAAAGAAAGCUGUUUGCACAGGGAACGUGUCUGAUGUCCUGUGUCAGCUCUUCAGAAGCUAGAAUCUCCAGGAACAAGCUGAUAUCCAUGCCCAACGUGCUGGUGUGCUUCAUGCCCUCCCUGCCUAUUUGUACGAAGACACCUCUACCUUCAUCAAAACUUGGGGUGUAAGUUUUGGACAAAGUUGUGAACAAUAUCUUAGUAGCAUCCUUGUUUAGAUUUCACAAAACAUUAUGACACUUUGACAGUGUGAGAAGCAUCUCCAUGCUUUGGGUCUGUCUACAACAGUGUCCA
Long non-coding RNA from Oreochromis aureus, 720 nucleotides. RefSeq lists it as uncharacterized. The transcript has 3 exons. Lineage: Eukaryota; Metazoa; Chordata; Actinopteri; Cichliformes; Cichlidae. The record is from RefSeq and is a predicted model, not a curated record.